UCGUGAUUAAGGUCAAGCGCGAGAGUAAGAACUACACAAGGAGUUAGAGUACCUUAGCAAAACUUUGCUAUCAGGUUGAGCUGUGAUGGGCGAUGAAGUAUUGCUGAGUGGAGUUUUUGUCGAACUUAAAGUAGGCUCAGAAAGGAUACAUGUCUUCAUACAUGUAUCUCAGUUAUGCAUUCCGCUGUAAACACUGAUUAUUUCAGUUAGGCCUUCCGUUGCAAACUCUGAUAAUGUUUUAGCCAAGCCCCUAACGAUGCCUUAUUCCUUUUUAAGGAAUAUUUCACGCGUAUUCAAGCUCUUUGAGUAUUCUUUUAUGCGCCCCUUUCUAAACCCGCUUCGUAAUUUCCCUUCCCCAGUCAUGGUUUCCCGGCUUAAUUAUCCCUAAUUAAGGCCGGUCGUGACAGAGUGGUAUCAGAGCAGUUCGUUUGCUCUGAGCCUAAGAGUUCAUUUAAGCCAAACUUAGAAUGGAUCACUAAAGUGUCUAGAGUUCAAUCGACAAAGCUCAGCACUUCAUCGCAUCACACUCAACGAAGCAGAAUGGUAAGCUAUUUCAAGUUUUGAGAUAAUGUUUACAAAAAGUGACAAAGUGUGUAACUGUUAAUAGCUAUGUUAUGUUGUUGAAUGAAAUGAUUUAUGCAAACA
Molecule: long non-coding RNA, 645 nt
Organism: Salvia miltiorrhiza (redroot sage)
Lineage: Eukaryota; Viridiplantae; Streptophyta; Magnoliopsida; Lamiales; Lamiaceae
Exons: 2
Source: RefSeq, a predicted model, not a curated record